Molecule: long non-coding RNA, 947 nt
Organism: Mya arenaria
Lineage: Eukaryota; Metazoa; Mollusca; Bivalvia; Myida; Myidae
Exons: 3
Source: RefSeq, a predicted model, not a curated record
CAAACAAACGAGGAAGUAAUGGCGUCUCGUGUCGUUUCGCUUUCCGAUAUUCCUGACAAAUUAUCAUAAAUGUGAAAUUACAAUGCGAAAAAAAUAGAAGUCAAAGGAAUUUGUAACUGGCUGCUACAUCGGAAGGCUCGAUAUAUCUUUAGAAAAUGACGAUAUCUAACAUUUACGGGGUGAAAUCUAUCCAAGUCAGAGAAAAUCGGAUAGCCGCCAUGUUGUCAAUAUUGACAUCGAUACAAAGGAAAAGCGUGUGGGUGACGCAUACUGUUAAUGCAAACAAGGAAAUUGUGGAACAUGUUCACACACUCUGGCUGUAAAAGUAGACCUGGGAGGAAAAGUGCCCCCGGUGUGGGGCUCGAACUCACAACCACCAGAACCGCCCGGCAUUCUAACCAACUAAGCUGACCGGGCAGCUAGUUCUAACCCACACACACUACCCUCCCCCCAUUUACCGGUUAAGGCUGGUGGAGGGUCUCCUGCUAUUUACCGUUGACACCAUUAAAGUAUUCUGAUUGAUGGAGAUAAGGAAGUCCCCUAAUUAUUGUCUUCAACAAGCCUACCGCCACAGGGGACCUAGCAUAAGACCGGAAACCGCCCCCCCCCACACACACACAUGAUAUUUGCCAGUCCAGGCAAUGUCAACCGCAAGAGAAAACCAGUGAUGACAAGUUUUACAAAUAAUCGGAAAGUGUGGUCUUUUGAAGAGAGUUCUUGAAGUUGUUCAGCAUGUUGUUUUGAUGGAUUCUUGGAAGGAUGUACCUCUAUGAUGUUAGCUUCAGUUCUGGAGUAUAACACCAGUUGUUGCAUAUUUAAUAUCAGAUUUAUUAAAUACAUUGUUGUUUUGCAAACAUUACUUAAACUUUGAUAUUUCUUUGGUGUUUAUGUAUGAUAUUGUAGGUGAAUAUCUCUUUAUUGCAAUGGCAAAUAUAUUUUAAAAUAUA